AACGCACAUUGCGCCCCUUGGUAUUCCAUGGGGCAUGCCUGUUCGAGCGUCAUUUGUACCUUCAAGCCUUGCUUGGUGUUGGGUGUUUGUCUCGCCUCUGCGCGCAGACUCGCCUCAAAACAAUUGGCAGCCGGCGUAUUGAUUUCGGAGCGCAGUACAUCUCGCGCUUUGCACUCAUAACGACGACGUCCAAAAAGUACAUUUUUACACUCUUGACCUCGGAUCAGGUAGGGAUACCCGCUGAACUUAA
Molecule: unclassified non-coding RNA, 250 nt
Filed under: uncultured Didymellaceae
Lineage: Eukaryota; Fungi; Ascomycota; Dothideomycetes; Pleosporales; Didymellaceae
Description: sequence contains ITS2
Source: RNAcentral